Molecule: ribosomal RNA, 443 nt
Filed under: uncultured bacterium
Lineage: Bacteria
Description: bacterial SSU rRNA
Rfam family: Bacterial small subunit ribosomal RNA
Source: RNAcentral
UCGAGAAUCUUCGGCAAUGGGCGCAAGCCUGACCGAGCGACGCCGCGUGGAGGACGAAGGCCUUCGGGUUGUAAACUCCUGUCGAGGGGGAACAAGGUGCCGUGAAGAACGGCGUUUGAGUGAACCCUGGAGGAAGCACGGGCUAAGUUCGUGCCAGCAGCCGCGGUAAGACGAACCGUGCGAACGUUAUUCGGAAUCACUGGGCCUAAAGCGCGUGUAGGCGGGCCGGCACGUCUGAGGCUGAAAUCCCCCGGCUCAACCGGGGAAGCGGCCCGGAUACGACCGGCCUGGAGGGGGGUAGGGGGAGCGGGAACUGCCGGUGGAGCGGUGAAAUGCGUUGAGAUCGGCAGGAACGCCCGCGGCGAAAGCGCGCUCCUGGACCCCGCCUGACGCUGAGACGCGAAAGCCAGGGGAGCGAACGGGAUUAGAUACCCGUGUAGUCC